GUUAAAAAGCUCGUAGUUGGAUUUCGGAGUGGGCCAGUUGGUCCGCCGCAAGGUGUGUUACUGACUGGUUUGCUCUUCUUCGCAAAGACUGCGUGUGCUCUUCAGCGAGUGUGCGUAGGAUUUACGACGUUUACUUUGAAAAAAUUAGAGUGUUCAAAGCAGGCUAUUGCUUGAAUACAUGAGCAUGGAAUAAUGGAAUAGGACUUUGGUCCCAUUUUGUUGGUUUCUAGGGCCGAAGUAAUGAUUAAGAGGGACAAUUGGGGGCAUCCGUAUUUCGUUGUCAGAGGUGAAAUUCUUGGAUUUACGAAAGACGAACAACUGCGAAAGCACUUGCCAAGAGUGUUUUCAUUAAUCAAGAACGAAAGUUAGAGGAUCGAAGACGAUCAGAUACCGUCCUAGUUCUAACCAUAAACGAUGUCGACUAGGGAUCAGCGGGCGUUAUCGUACGACCCCGUUGGCACCUUACGGGAAACCAAAGUUUCUGGAUUCCGGGGGAAGUAUGGUUGCAAAGCUGAAACUUAAAGGAAUUGACGGAAGGGCACCACCAGGAGUGGAGCCUGUGGCUCAAUUUGACUCAACACGGGAAAACUUACCAGGUCCAGACAUAGUAAGGAUUGAC
Molecule: ribosomal RNA, 619 nt
Filed under: uncultured eukaryote
Lineage: Eukaryota
Description: SSU rRNA
Rfam family: Eukaryotic small subunit ribosomal RNA
Source: RNAcentral